Non-coding RNA from Vicugna pacos (alpaca), 1703 nucleotides. The record is from RefSeq and is a predicted model, not a curated record. NCBI's taxonomy places the organism in Eukaryota, Metazoa, Chordata, Mammalia, Artiodactyla, Camelidae.
UUUCCCAGCAUGUAAAAGGGGAAUAUGUACUCUUCCCAAGGUAGUUCUGAGCGAUAACACCUGCGGGUGCUUGGUUCCGAGAGCAACAGAAAACCCAGAUCCUCGUGGAGGCAACGGGUGUGAUUCCCGUAGGGGUUCUGCAGAAGCAUCGGAUGGAGGGCUGGACCAGGGAGGUAAAACUUGAGCUGCGGUCCUUGAAGGGUUACAGAAGGGUACAGAGGCAGGACUGCCGCCUCCUUUGGGGUGCCCCCAGAGGUAAAGCUUUUUCUCUCCAUCUCCGCUAAGACCCUCCCCUCUCUAGAUCCCUCCCUUCUCUCUGCUCUUCCUGUCCAUCUGUCUCAUGCCACUUUUCCCCUCCUCUCAUCCCCCUCCCAUCUUCUGCGUCACUCACUGCCCCACCUUCCCUCACAGAACCCAGAGAGGAUCGCUGGCCCUCCAGCGCAUGCGCAGUCGCUGCCAGCUGGACCGCGGGUUGGAAGCUCCAGCUCCGAGCCGGGGAUCGGCUCCUAAGGCUUCUCAGCUCUGUCGCCCUGACCAGCUCAGCGGCGUGGGCACUGCUCCCUGGGCUGAGAGCCACCGGCUGUGACGCCCAGCUUCUCCUGGUGGAGUCAGGAAAAGGGAGCGUCAGUUCUGAGCGAGCUUCUGUCUCCUCCCUCAGUGUUUCUGCCGCAGGGGCAGGAAGCCUAGACCAAAAGCUGGGUAAUGUGAUCCGAGCUACGGUAGCCAUGUGCAGACUCUGAGGACAAACUGUACCCCCGGAUUUGCUUUGACUUCCCUUGCCUUCUGGCUGGUACACACCAGAUCACCGCAACCCAGAUGGGCCUGCAGCCCACAGCACAGUAUGUACCUCGAUCUCCUCUCCCCUCUCGGUAGGGCUUGCAACAUGAGCAUCCCUGAGUACGUGCAGUGUGCUGAGGACUAUGAGAAUCUUCCCGUGGUGGUCCAACCCGUGGGGAUCAUCUCAGAGGAGAAUAUCUUUUGCAUCUAUAAGCGAAUCUCCUUGGUGAGCCAGAUCAGCCCGUGUGGCUCCCAGUGGGCAAUCUGUAUCCACUACAGGCACCACUAUGCACCUGAGAAUGGGUGGAGCGACUUUCAGACCUACCGCAAGGUCGUGGGCCCUGUCACCAUUACCUACUGCCUCUCGGCCAAGGCCUUCGAGAAGCUCCACGUGCAGAGGAGCUGUAUGGCGCCACGCUUAAUGACUCUCAGCUAUUUGUCUUUGUGCUGUAUGGGGAGGUAGACGAGCAGUCGCUCACCAACGUGGCCUUCAAUCUAUGAGGACUGCAGGGUGGUGGAGAAGAGGAUCGAGGACUUCACUGAAUCACUCUUCAUCUUGCCCAAGUCCAAGUAGCUGGAUGGGGCCCUCGACAAUUCUGGGGACAAGAUCACCCUCCUCUGCAUCCCGCUUGAGAAGGAGGACGUCAUGGGACUGGACACAGACAGCAGGGCCCUGUGAUCUACAUGCCCGCACUCCCCUUGUGCUCCUUGGAGAUGAGGUGUCAGGUUUAGGAACCUAGGCACUGCUGAGGGCAUAGCUGCCAGCACCGUGGUACACCAAGGCUGACUCCGUUCACCUCACCUGUCACCUCCUGCUGAGUCCCAAGGCGUCAGUCAAGGUAGGUGCAUCGGUGCAACGUAAGCAGGGACUACCUUCUCACCCUGCACAGACUGGUGUGUGAGCAGUGGAAGCCUGGAGCCCUGCC